Molecule: transfer RNA, 76 nt
Filed under: Prauserella rugosa
Lineage: Bacteria; Bacillati; Actinomycetota; Actinomycetes; Pseudonocardiales; Pseudonocardiaceae
Also listed under: 3 other names
Description: tRNA-Ala
Rfam family: tRNA
About the family: Transfer RNA (tRNA) molecules are approximately 80 nucleotides in length. Their secondary structure includes four short double-helical elements and three loops (D, anti-codon, and T loops).
Source: RNAcentral
GGGGCUGUAGCUCAAUUGGUAGAGCGCCGCUUUUGCAAGGCGGAGGUCAGGGGUUCGAUUCCCCUCAGCUCCACCC